This 246-nucleotide ribosomal RNA is filed under the name uncultured bacterium. Its description in RNAcentral is "partial 16S ribosomal RNA". It matches the Rfam family "Bacterial small subunit ribosomal RNA", at positions 524 to 769 of the family's 1533-position model. The record is from RNAcentral.
UACGUAGGGUGCGAGCGUUAAUCGGAAUUACUGGGCGUAAAGCGUGCGCAGGCGGUUUUGUAAGCCAGAUGUGAAAUCCCCGGGCUAACCUGGGAAUGGCAUUUGGGACUGCAAGGCUGGAGUGCGGCAGAGGAGACUGGAAUUCCUGGUGUAGCAGUGAAAUGCGUAGAUAUCAGGAGGAACACCGAUGGCGAAGGCAGGUCUCUGGGCUGACACUGACGCUCAUGCACGAAAGGCGUGGGGAGC